Molecule: ribosomal RNA, 253 nt
Filed under: uncultured bacterium
Lineage: Bacteria
Description: partial 16S ribosomal RNA
Rfam family: Bacterial small subunit ribosomal RNA
Source: RNAcentral
UACAGAGGGUGCAAGCGUUAAUCGGAAUUACUGGGCGUAAAGCGCGCGUAGGUGGUUUGUUAAGUUGAAUGUGAAAUCCCCGGGCUCAACCUGGGAACUGCAUGCAAUACUGGCAAGCUAGAGUAUGGUAGAGGGUGGUGGAAUUUCCUGUGUAGCGGUGAAAUGCGUAGAUAUAGGAAGGAACACCAGUGGCGAAGGCGACCGCCUGGACUGAUACUGACACUGAGGUGCGAAAGCGUGGGGAGCAAACAGG